Molecule: long non-coding RNA, 1067 nt
Organism: Talpa occidentalis (Iberian mole)
Lineage: Eukaryota; Metazoa; Chordata; Mammalia; Eulipotyphla; Talpidae
Exons: 3
Source: RefSeq, a predicted model, not a curated record
AGGAAGCCCAGGGUUCCCCUGCUAGCACCUGCAGGAGAUGGAAACCACUUGAUCUCCUGCCUUCCUGCUAGAAUCCUCGCCCAGGCCCAGCUGCUAAUCACAAUAAAAGCCCCACGCCAGUCGCUUUCUUCAGCCAUUUUGGAUCCGCGAACAACUACCCUGCUCAUCCCAGAGACCUCAACAGGGUUGCGAUGGGUCAGAUAUUGUGCUAAGUGACAAAGGGAAGCAGGAAAAGAGAAGAUGACUCCUUCAGUGGUCCCAAGUGACGCUGCAAGAGAUACAGGACCUUGGUGGAAAAAGUCAAAGAUGAGCCCAGAGGGAGAGCCACAGAAUUCGAAACAGCCGGCCUUGGAAAAGCCCUCGUAGACCAUCUAACCACGCUCCCAGGGCAGGAAAGAAAAACAAACUGGAGCCCACUGACAUUUAUGACUCUUACCUGCGGCGCAGAUCCUCAGCCACUGCUGCCCGGCAGCUGAACAAAUAGGCCCGAAGCGACUUCAGCCGCUGCCGCAGCCGCACCACCGCAGCCAGCGGCUCCGCAUGGAGGUACAGCAUGGGGUUCUCCUGCUGGAUGUCAAUCAGGGGCUCUUCGUACACGUACUCCAGAAACUCUUUGGCCUGCUUAGACACCUGCAAAAUAAACUUCCUCAAUCAGUUCUGGUGAAUUAGUCAGCCUCCCAAAAACUAGGAACCAUAGCUUAAGUAUCAAAGUAGUAUUUUCUGAACACAGUCAAAUGAGAAAACUGAUAAUUCAAAUAUAGAUUCGGCCUUCUCUUUUAGAGCUUCAACAGGUAAAAGUAUUCUGAGCACUGAAUGGAAGUCAUUAAUUCUGUUUCUUGAUUAUGGUGGUGAUUAUAUAAAUCUGCAAGAGAGGUAAAAUGACACAGAACUUUUCAGAUCAGGUAUACCAAUUGUCAACUUACCAUUCGUUAUUUUGUACGAUAUAGUUAUUACCUAUGCUGUAAUCUCAGGUGGGGGAAUCUGGAUGAAAGACAGCCAGGUAUUCUCUGCUAACUAUGCAGCUUCUUGUAUAAAUGAAGUAGAAAAAGAAUUAGUUAAGAUUUCCU